AUUGAACGCUGGCGGCAUGCCUUACACAUGCCAGUCGAACGGCAGCACGGGUGCUUGCACCUGGUGGCGAGUGGCGAACGGGUGAGUAAUACAUCGGAACAUGUCCUGUAGUGGGGGAUAGCCCGGCGAAAGCCGGAUUAAUACCGCAUACGAUCUACGGAUGACAGCGGGGGACCUUCGGGCCUCGCGCUAUAGGGUUGGCCGAUGGCUGAUUAGCUAGUUGGUGGGGUAAAGGCCUACCAAGGCGACGAUCAGUAGCUGGUCUGAGAGGACGACCAGCCACACUGGGACUGAGACACGGCCCAGACUCCUACGGGAGGCAGCAGUGGGGAAUUUUGGACAAUGGGCGAAAGCCUGAGCCAGCAAUGCCGCGUGUGUGAAGAAGGCCUUCGGGUUGUAAAGCACUUUUGUCCGGAAAGAAAUCCUUGGCCCUAAUACGGUCGGGGGAUGACGGUACCGGAAGAAUAAGCACCGGCUAACUACGUG
RNAcentral lists this ribosomal RNA (486 nucleotides) under uncultured bacterium. RNAcentral's name for it is "partial 16S ribosomal RNA". It matches the Rfam family "Bacterial small subunit ribosomal RNA", at positions 30 to 507 of the family's 1533-position model. The record is from RNAcentral.